CAGCAUGAAUGCGGCAGCUUGGCCUCAAGGACUCCAAGAUCUGGUCUGCCCUUCCUCUUUCCCGUCCAUGUGUCUGUCGAGCCGAGCCUCAAAGAUUGAGAUUUGUUUCAUUCUCCCCGUCCGGUCCAUGUGUGUCGAGCAUCAAGCUUUUUUUGCCCUAGUAAAUAAAUUGCCCAAUUUAAAGAGAUGACACACUUCAAUUAAUCAUCAUAGCUGCCUUCUUCUUGCAACAUACAUGUAAUUAUACUGCACAUCCCGAAUCGAAUCACUGGUAAAAAUGCGAAUCAGAUAAUAUGGCCUAAUAAAAUUCAACCUAGGCAGACAUUAUUAGAAAAAUAAAGGAUAGAUAAUAAUAGUGUAUUGGCACGCCUAUGGUUCUACUAAUUGAUUUCAGUGGGUUUGAUUGAUCUUGUUGUUUGGCAGAUUCCUCCAUAUGCCCACCAAAAACAUGACUCGUGGGAUAGAAGCAUCACCAUCUUUUUACUAGGAACAUAUAACAUAAAAACUUUGACCAAAUCAACAACCUUUUUUAUAGUUUAACCGCUAAGCAUAACAGCCAUGUUUUAAUCAACUAAAAUAGUCCAUAUGGUGAACUCGGAUCAGUUUAGACUCCGGAUGAUUUGUCAUCACAAAAUGACUUAAAGAACAACUGCAGUUUUGUAAUUUUCAGUUUUAAACCAUACAUGCACCCCUGUGUUCAAGUAUUUCAUCAUUAGGGAAUAAGUAUGGGAGGAGGAUCUUGUAUCUAUUUCAUCACUAGAGAAGAAAUAAACACUGAUUGCUUGUAUUUUCUAGUUUGCAGGCACAGAUGAUGUAUGCGGCAGGCGACGAUGAUGCCGACGCCAACGCCGAGGAGGACGAGGACCCGAGCUCCAGCCUGACCAGCAUGGUCCCUGCUGCCUGCCAGUAAUGACUCCCUGCAGGUAGCACCUCCCUCUGCCCACUCACUUGCUAGUCUCUCAGUAGGAUGCGAUUGUUCUAGUAGCUAUCAUUUACACGGCGGCGCAUAUAUGGAUUUGCCCAUGGUUCCAUGAAUUGUGUAAUACUAGGAGAUAUGGGUGAGGAACUGAAAAUAUAAUAUGCUUCCAUGAAUUGUCCUGCAGAUAUGCGCCAUAUGGGAGAUCCUUCUCGCCGGACUUCAGGAGAAGGCGGUCCCUCGGCGACGGGUUUGAGAGCUAGCGUGGGUUUUGCCAGACCAUUCAUGCUACCCAGAUGGGAUUGUCGCUCAAUAUCGG
Molecule: long non-coding RNA, 1235 nt
Filed under: Triticum aestivum (bread wheat)
Lineage: Eukaryota; Viridiplantae; Streptophyta; Magnoliopsida; Poales; Poaceae
Description: long non-coding RNA (TAES_LNC003684)
Source: RNAcentral